AAAAAGAAAUAGUGCAAGAAAGAUGCAAUUUGGAAAAGGAAUUAGCUAAAAACAAGGUAGACAUAAAUACAUUAACUCAUAACCUGCAGACUCUUGAAGAAGAGAAUAAGCACCUGGCAGAUCAAAUGGCUUCCCUAGAACUUCAGCAAGUCACUUCUGAUUACCAUGGGCUUGCCCAACAGAAGGUGGAAAAAGUCUUGGGAAAAAUUACUGAAAGUAAAAAUAGACUGGCCUAUGAAAACGGAAAACUCCAGAUAAAAGUUAAACAGCUAGAAGAACAAGUACAGUCUUUUACUGACACCAGCUUACAGAAUGAUCAUCUACGCAAGAUGAAUAAGUCUCUACAGACUAAAUAUGCUCAGGUGAAAUCUAUUCUUGAAAGAAGUAAAGAGGAGCUGUCCCGAACAGUGAAGUGUCGUAAUGCGGCCCUGAAAGAGAGUCAGAAGUUGAAAGAAGACCUCGAGGCUGUGGAGGACAGGGAAAACAAGAAGGUGGGAAACUUUCAGCGACAAUUGGCAGAAGCUAAAGAAGACAACUGCAAAGUCACAAUCAUGUUGGAGAAUGUGCUGGCUUCUCACAGUAAGAUGCAAGG
This 592-nucleotide small RNA is filed under the name Pan troglodytes (chimpanzee). RNAcentral describes it as "processed transcript". Lineage: Eukaryota; Metazoa; Chordata; Mammalia; Primates; Hominidae. The record is from RNAcentral.